Molecule: ribosomal RNA, 1317 nt
Filed under: Atractotomus agrifoliae
Lineage: Eukaryota; Metazoa; Arthropoda; Insecta; Hemiptera; Miridae
Description: eukaryotic LSU rRNA
Rfam family: Eukaryotic large subunit ribosomal RNA
Source: RNAcentral
CCAAGGAGUUUAGCGUGUACGCGAGUCAUUGGGUUCUAACGAAACCCAAAGGCGAAAUGAAAGUGAAGGGAACUUCACGUUUCUGAGGGAAGAUGAGUCGGUCACCCGCAAGGGGCCACUCCGCACUCCCGGGGCGUCUCUAUCUCAUUGCGAGAGGAGGCGCACCCAGAGCGUACACGCUGAUACCCGAAAGAUGGUGAACUAUGCCUGGCCAGGACGAAGCCAGGGGAAACCCUGGUGGAGGUCCGCAGCGAUUCUGACGUGCAAAUCGAUCGUCGGAGCUGGGUUUAGGGGCGAAAGACCAAUCGAACCAUCUAGUAGCUGGUUCCCUCCGAAGUUUCCCUCAGGAUAGCUUGCGCUCAUUCGAAACGAGUCUCAUCCGGUAGAGCGAAUGAUUAGAGGCCUUGGGGUCGAAACGAUCUCAACCUAUUCUCAAACUCCAAAUAGAUGAGAACUCCGGCUUUCUUGAAUGAACAUUUUUGAAGCCGGGGGCUUGGAUCAGAGUGCCAAGUGGGCCAAUUUUGGUAAGCAGAACUGGCGCUGUGGGAUGAACCAAACGCCGAGUUAAGGCGCCUCAAUCGACGCUCAUGUGAAACCAUGAAAGGCGUUGGUUGCUUAAGACAGCAGGACGGUGGCCAUGGAAGUCGGAAUCCGCUAAGGAGUGUGUAACAACUCACCUGCCGAAGCAACUAGCCCUGAAAAUGGAUGGCGCUGUAGCGUCGUGCCUAUACUCGGCCGUCAACGGCAAAGAUGGUCGGACUUCAUCGUUCGACCGUUACGCCUUGACGAGUAGGAGGGCCGCGGCGACGUGCGUAGAAGGGUCUGGGCGUGAGCCUGCCUGGAGCCGUCGUCGGUGCAGAUCUUGGUGGUAGUAGCAAAUACUCCAGCGAGGCCCUGGAGGACUGAUGUGGAGAAGGGUUUCUUGUGAACAGCUGUUGCACAAGAGUCAGUCGGUCCUAAGCCCUAGGAGAAAUCCGAAGCGAUGGGUUGCCGUUCAUCUGGUGUUGGCACCCGUUUGGGCGAAAGGGAAUCCGGUUCCUAUUCCGGAACCUGGCAGUGGAACCGUUCCAAUUCGGGCCCUCUGAGGACUCGUCAGGGCAACCUGAAUAGACCCGGAGACGCCGACAGGAGGUUGGGGGAGAGUUGUCUCUUCUCUAUAAGCGAUCGAGUUCCCUGGAAACUUCUAGCAAGGAGAUAGGGUUUGGAUCGCGAAGAGCACUGCAGUUACGGCAGUGUCCCAAUCUUCCUCUCGGACCUUGAAAAUCCGGGUGAGGGCCACGAGGAAUACCACGCCAGACCGUACCCAUAUCCGCAGCA